ACCUGAAAAAGAGCACAAUUUUACCUUUACAAGUUAGCUGCAGCAAACUUGGCUUAUUUAAAUGUCCACUGAAAUAAACUGAUGUAAAAUUCUUCUACCCUUUGUCACACAGCAACAAGAAUGCAUCCCACAAUAAUAUCCACCCCUUCAGUUGUUCUGAAGUCAGACAAUGCAAGUUAUCAUUCUGGAUUAAAGUGUAAUUUGUUUACAGAGUAUCCCCAAAGUAAAGAUGACUUCUGUGAAUGCUAUGUUUUUUUCAGCUUGUCUGAGAUAUCAACAAAAACCAGUGUCUACAUAUGCGUGGCAGUCACAAGCAUAAAAAUUCUGCCCUAAGAUCCUUCACCAGUUUCAAUACCAAGCUGUCAAAAGACUGACUUUCUUGUUGUGGAGCUGCUGAGCUCUGUAAAACACAGCCGUGAAACAUUACUUCUUUGCUAAUGUAUCCAAGUUACAUUUUUUAUAAUAGGGAGUAUAAUUUCAGUCCUGUAGUCUUCAGCUGAAGACUGUUGGAACCUGAAAGAGCUGUGUAGAAUAUGCAGUGUUAUCAACUUGUUUUAGAGUUCAAUAAUGUCUAAAGUAAGAUGUCUUUUUCAGAGACUGCCUUGACUUCAAUUAUGAUUUCCCAAAAGGAAAACAAAACACAUUUUUUCAAUAAAAUCAUAAGCACUCCUCCCAGAUUGCAGAAUGGCAAGCAGUUCAUUGAGUUGUUGAGAAAGGAAUUCAGCAUACAGGAGUGUCUGGUAACUCAGCCAUUUCUUCUGUCUUCCAGUGACAUUUAUAAGCAGCUUGUUUCCAGCCAUGAAGCGGGUAUGCUUGUCAGUCAACAUAACCAGACUUUUAAAUCCAACCCAGCCGGAAGAGGGAUGCAAUUCAUUUUUAUUUCUACACCAAGGAGGAGUUUGUAUGAAGCAGCAGUAUAUUAAGAUGCAAAAAGUUACUCAAAUGGAAAACAAAAAACAACAUAGGUGUUGUAAAGCAGAUGGGAAAAGGGAGUAAAAGCAUGCGUCAAAAGCAUGCUCAAGAGCUCUAUCUCUCUCAUUGCUCAAACUAUUUCUUCCCAUCUUUUUAAAGAAGUUAACAACACACUACCCAAUAAGGCUAUAAAAGGAUUUUUCAGCUCAGUGGAGUUUGUCUAAUUCAGGAUCUGGUUAGACCAUGGUAUAAUGGCAAUACAAGAAAUUACUCCACGUCCCCUAAGCCACGUAAUCACUUGUAAUCCACCCUGAGCACAAGGCAGUGACUAAACCCUUUUCUGGGGAGGUCUCUUACCUCAAGCAUAGAACGGCCAGCAACAGGCACUGUGACAGCUAUGACUGUUCAGCUGAUAGAAGCCAGCAAAGCAACCCUGAUUCCACUUGGAAUUUGACAUUCAUUGCAAUCCUCACCUACUGUAGGAAACACCUAACACUGCCCACUUAUUCCAAGCAAGUCCAGCUACUGCCUCCCCUGAAGAUCCCAAAGCAGAGUGCUGAAUGCCUGCUAAGCACAAAGCGUGGUACACAGUCACAAGCAAACCCAAAGGUUACCCAUGGUGAACUGAGUGUAUAAGUUGGCAUUUAGUUUGAUAUGAUAUAAUAUUCACAGAUUAGACAAUUUUUCAAUUAUGAGUUAAGUAUUUUGCAGUAUCUUGAGGAGAUGAAGAGAAGCAUUUAAUUUUCCAGAAGUUAUAAAAGGUGCUUGCUGUUUCAGUAAUGAAUUCAGUCCUCUAACUCACCUCAAGUAAUAAAAUUGGACAUAUGCGUGCUUGUUUGUAAAUAAUCUGUAGCGAGUCAUCUUCAAAACCUGUACUUCAGGACUUCUGAAUGUUAGGUGUCUGUAUCACUUCCACAGGCAGUUAAAACCAUGUUACCCUCUUGUAACCCUCUAUGUUCUCAUGGUAACGUCACUGAUGUUUGUGGAUAACCUCCAAACACUUGAAAUAUUCAUACUGCAAGCCCUUACAGUUGUUAAUAAGAAAAUAACUAAAGACUUCAGUCUUUACCUUCUUUACACUGAGACCAAGUUCAUUUUUGAAGAAACCCAGUCUGUUAUCCAGUCUUUCCACUGAAAACAACAGCAGAUAUGGAGCUCUCGAGACCAUCUGAGCAAUUUCUGACUUACCAAAUUUUUUUGAUUUUAGGUAAGCCACUCUAGAAAGAGAACAAAAACAAAAUAAAAUCCAGUGAUGAAAAUUUUAUUGCCUCCAUUUAUUCAGUACUGCUUAAAUUCCUCAGUGAUAUCUUAUAAAUGGACAGAUGUUCAAGCAUUAACAUGCAACCCUGCCAAAAAUAAUUAGGAUGAAUUCUGCAGUUAUCGUAAAAGCAAAAUACCCUCCCUUCCAAUUAAUUAGAAGUAAAAUAAACCUCAGAGCAGAAUGUCAAUACUGAAGACAGAUUUUAAUUCCUUCCAGCUGUACUUAAGCAGAUAACUAUGUUAACCUAAAUUUAACUACCAGCCUGUCUCCUAGAUUGCAAACACAUUAAUAGAUCAUCAUAGGGUAUGGACAAGAAGAUAUAUACAGCUUUUUGCUAUUUUAAUGAAUUCCAUUUCUACUGCUGAAAGAACAUUGUACUAUACCUCAUACAUCCCUGUUUUGCCAAUAGCACUGGAGUAGAAAUACCCUACAACAACAUCAUGUGUAGAGACAUUGUCCGAAAAGGCAUCUCUAGAUUAGCUGAAGUUACAUUCGUUGCAAUAGGUCGCUACUUUCAGUCAGUGGUCCAACGAUUAAGUAACAAAUAUCUGGUCAUCGGAAAGGAAAAGGAGCUGACUAAAGUUUUUAUGUUUAACAGAGCUUUCUUGCUUUCCAACUCAAUACUUUUUCCAAACUUUGUUAAAUUCAGUGAAUGUGAAAUCUUAUUUCAAGUACUACUUGCAGUAGAUGAUUACCAUACACGAUUACCAGAAAAAGGAACAAAGGAGAGCCAGUACAGCACAUAAAGAGAGACACAAUUAAUCCAUGUCUCCAUCUACAAAACAACUGAACUACAGUUUGAAGAGAUUUCCUUUGGUUAUAGAUGAGAGUAUAUGGAAGUAUUUUCUGUCAGAUGAAAGCACAUAAGAAUUGUUUUUAUCUGGCAGUAAUUUAGACACUAAAUGGAUUGCAGAGUAUUCUGCAGAAGCAGGUAUUCAGCAAAAAACAGGCUCUGUGUUAAACCACAUCUUGUGCAGAGAAAAAAAAAUUACCUUCCAGUCACUACAGCCUCCCUCUUUCCACAAACCCUCAAAAAUGAA
Molecule: long non-coding RNA, 3213 nt
Organism: Pseudopipra pipra
Lineage: Eukaryota; Metazoa; Chordata; Aves; Passeriformes; Pipridae
Exons: 2
Source: RefSeq, a predicted model, not a curated record